Molecule: ribosomal RNA, 343 nt
Filed under: uncultured Gemmatimonadota bacterium
Lineage: Bacteria; Pseudomonadati; Gemmatimonadota
Description: bacterial SSU rRNA
Rfam family: Bacterial small subunit ribosomal RNA
Source: RNAcentral
GACGAACGCUGGCGGCGUGCUUAACACAUGCAAGUCGGACGAGGCAGGGGGAGCUUGCUCCCCCUAGCCGAGUGGCGAACGGGUGAGUAACACGUGACCAACCUGUCCCAGGGUGAGGGACAACCUGGGGAAACCCGGGCUAAUACCACAUGAUGUCUCGUCGUCGCAUGGCGACGAGAUCAAAGAGGGCCUCUGCUUGCAUGCUCUCGCCCAGGGAGGGGGUCGCGGCGUAUCAGCUAGUUGGUAGGGUAACGGCCUACCAAGGCUACGACGCGUAGCGGGUCUGAGAGGACGGCCCGUCACAUUGGGACUGAGAUACGGCCCAGACUCCUACGGGAGGCAG